Molecule: unclassified non-coding RNA, 767 nt
Filed under: Hevea brasiliensis (rubber tree)
Lineage: Eukaryota; Viridiplantae; Streptophyta; Magnoliopsida; Malpighiales; Euphorbiaceae
Source: RNAcentral
GCUAAAAAUGUUGAAAUGGAAAUUUCAACAGGUUGAUACAUCUAAAAAAGUUACUUAUUGUAUGGCUAUCUCCAUAUUCUUUUUUUCAACUCACUCUCACAAAAACGUCAGAAUACACAGCUUAGAGGUGUUGCAGAGGAGCUGAUAACAGAUUCCAUGAGUGAUAAUAUUGUAGCAUAAUAAAAGAGAACUGCAAUGUAGCAAAAGUGCCACAUGUAUCGCGAGAGGCGAGAUUCAGAGGGGAGUGAAGUAAUAACCUGCUGGCUGUCCCAUCCCAUAGGGCAUUGAUGGUUGCAUUCCAGCACCAUAGUAGCCCGGGGUAGCUCCUGCAAGUCUGGACAAACCCAUUUGACCUUGCAUCCCGUUGCUUGCAUAUUGCUGCCACAGCUGUUGUUCCUGCAUUAACAAAUGUUGUUUCCUCUCCUGUUCUGCCAUUUGGACGUAAGAAGGAGGUGGCACGGCAAGGGAAGCGGCAAAUGGAUCUUGGUUCCCUACUGGUUGGACUGUUCCAUCGGGGGCAGGUAACGCAAGCAUAGGUGUUGCAGUCUUUCCAACUCCAGGCAAUGCUACACUGCUGGCACUCCCACCAGUCACCUGAGUAUUACUCACGUGCUGCCUCACGGUUCCCUGAUCGUACAUCCCGUUUAACAAAAGUGAAUCAAAACCACCUGCUAAAUCAGCCGUCUGCUUUGACAAAUUACUGGCGGUUUCUACCAAUGCUAACUCCCAGUCAGCUUUGCCAAUCUCAGCAGCUGGUGUCUGCCAAG